UACGUAGGUGGCAAGCGUUGUCCGGAAUUAUUGGGCGUAAAGCGCGCGCAGGCGGCCUUUUAAGUCUGAUGUGAAAGCCCACGGCUCAACCGUGGAAGGUCAUUGGAAACUGAAAGGCUUGAGUACAGAAGAGGAAAGCGGAAUUCCACGUGUAGCGGUGAAAUGCGUAGAGAUGUGGAGGAACACCAGUGGCGAAGGCGGCUUCUGGUCUGUAACUGACGCUGAGGUGCGAAAGCGUGGGGAGCAAACAGG
RNAcentral lists this ribosomal RNA (252 nucleotides) under uncultured bacterium. Its description in RNAcentral is "partial 16S ribosomal RNA". It matches the Rfam family "Bacterial small subunit ribosomal RNA", at positions 524 to 776 of the family's 1533-position model. The record is from RNAcentral.